UAAUCAGCCCUUUUCAGGGCUACCAUAUUUUUCAAACGAGGAACAA
Molecule: non-coding RNA, 46 nt
Organism: Nasonia vitripennis (jewel wasp)
Lineage: Eukaryota; Metazoa; Arthropoda; Insecta; Hymenoptera; Pteromalidae
Source: Rfam